RNAcentral lists this ribosomal RNA (550 nucleotides) under uncultured fungus. RNAcentral describes it as "eukaryotic LSU rRNA". The stretch from base 186 to 339 matches the Rfam family "5.8S ribosomal RNA". The record is from RNAcentral. Lineage: Eukaryota; Fungi.
AAGUCGUAACAAGGUCUCCGUUGGUGAACCAGCGGAGGGAUCAUUACUGAGUACUACACUCUCUACCCUUUGUGAACUAUUAUACCUGUUGCUUCGGCGGCGCCCGCAAGGGUGCCCGCCGGUCUCAUCAGAAUCUCUGUUUUCGAACCCGACGAUACUUCUGAGUGUUCUUAGCGAACUGUCAAAACUUUUAACAACGGAUCUCUUGGCUCCGGCAUCGAUGAAGAACGCAGCGAAACGCGAUAUGUAAUGUGAAUUGCAGAAUUCAGUGAAUCAUCGAAUCUUUGAACGCACAUGGCGCCUUCCAGUAUCCUGGGAGGCAUGCCUGUCCGAGCGUCGUUUCAACCCUCGAGCCCCUGUGGCCCGGCGUUGGGGAUCUGCCACGGCAGGCCCCUAAAACCAGUGGCGGACCCGAAGGGCCCUCUCCUUUGCGCAGUAGCAUUCGCCUCGCAUCGGGAGUCCUCGGCGUCCUGCCUCUAAACCCCCACAAGCCCGCUUCGGCGGCACCAAGGUUGACCUCGGAUCAGGUAGGAAUACCCGCUGAACUUAA